This 1231-nucleotide ribosomal RNA is filed under the name metagenome. RNAcentral describes it as "bacterial LSU rRNA". It matches the Rfam family "Bacterial large subunit ribosomal RNA", at positions 1564 to 2808 of the family's 2925-position model. The record is from RNAcentral.
CGAGUACGAGAUGCUACGGCAUCGAAGCAGUCUAUGUCAUACUUCCAAGAAAAGCUCGCACUGUCAAAAACAAAUUAAUGCCUGUACCAUAACCGACACAGGUGGGUAGGUAGAGUAUACUAAGGGGCGCGAGAUAACUCUCUCUAAGGAACUCGGCAAAAUAACUCCGUAACUUCGGGAGAAGGAGUGCCUUUUUAAGGCUGCAAUAACCAGAUCCAAGCAACUGUUUAUCAAAAACACAGGUCUCCGCUAAGUCGUAAGACGAUGUAUGGGGGCUGACGCCUGCCCAGUGCCAGAAGGUUAAAGAAGUUGGUUAGCCCUGCGAAGCUGAUGACUGAAGCCCUGGUGAACGGCGGCCGUAACUAUAACGGUCCUAAGGUAGCGAAAUUCCUUGUCGGGUAAGUUCCGACCCGCACGAAAGGCGUAAUGAUUUGGAUACUGUCUCGGAGAGGGACUCGGUGAAAUAGACUUGUCUGUGAAGAUGCGGACUACCUGCACCAGGACAGAAAGACCCUAUGAAGCUUUACUGUAACUUGAGAUUGAAAUUGGACUUUAUUUGCGCAGUAUAGGUGGGAGGCUUUGAAAGUAUUCUUGCGGGAAUAGUGGAGCCAUCAGUGAGAUACCACUCUUGUAAUGUUAGAUUUCUAACUUUGUAUCAUUAUCUGGUCAAAGAACAGUCUCAGGCGGGCAGUUUGACUGGGGCGGUCGCCUCCCAAACGGUAACGGAGGCGCACAAAGGUUUCCUCUGAACGGGUAGAAAUCGUAUCUAGAGUGUAAAGGCAUAAGGAAGCUUGACUGUGAGACCUACAAGUCGAGCAGGGACGAAAGUCGGUCUUAGUGAUCUGCCGGUGCUGAGUGGAAAGGCCGUCACUCAACGGAUAAAAGUUACUCUAGGAUAACAGGCUGAUCUCCCCCAAGAGUUCACAUCGACGGGGAGGUUUGGCACCUCGAUGUCGGCUCAUCGCAUCCUGGGGCGGUAGUACGUCCCAAGGGUUGGGCUGUUCGCCCAUGAAAGCGGUACGCGAGCUGGGUUCAGAACGUCGUGAGACAGUUCGGUCCAUAUCCGGUGUAGGCGUUAGAAUAUUGAGAGGAGCCUUCUUUAGUACGAGAGGACCGAGAAGGACAUACCUCUGGUGUACCAGUUAUCGUGCCAACGGUAAACGCUGGGUAGCUAUGUAUGGAGUGGAUAACCGCUGAAAGCAUCUAAGUGGGAAGCCCACCUCAAGAUAAG